UACGUAGGGGGCAAGCGUUGUCCGGAAUGAUUGGGCGUAAAGGGCGCGUAGGCGGCUUUGUAAGUCUGGAGUGAAAGUCCUCUUUUCAAGGGAGGAAUUGCUUUGGAAACUAUAGAGCUUGAGUGCAGGAGAGGUUAUCGGAAUUCCCGGUGUAGCGGUGAAAUGCGUAGAUAUCGGGAGGAACAUCGGUGGCGAAGGCGGGUAACUGGACUGCAACUGACGCUGAGGCGCGAAAGUGUGGGGAGCAAACAGGAUUAGAUACCCUGGUAGUCCACACGGUAAACGAUGAAUGCUAGGUGUAGGAGGUAUCGACCCCUUCUGUGCCGCAGUUAACACAAUAAGCAUUCCGCCUGGGGAGUACGGUCGCAAGAUUAAA
RNAcentral lists this ribosomal RNA (376 nucleotides) under uncultured bacterium. RNAcentral describes it as "bacterial SSU rRNA". It matches the Rfam family "Bacterial small subunit ribosomal RNA", at positions 524 to 898 of the family's 1533-position model. The record is from RNAcentral.